CGACCUCAGCACAUUCCAAGCAGUCAAGAAGGUUCCCAGGAAGCUUACUUAUCCCCUUAAACCAUCCAGGUUCAAGAAAGAUCAGAUUCUUUACUUGGAGCCAAAAUCCCACAAAAGGCUCCAACGGCUAGUUUUUGAUUUCUUUCUUAGUUUUCGAUUUGUUUCAUUUUCUAUUUGUUUUAGAACGUUAGGACCUUUGUCUCUGAGCCUUAUAUAAGCUCCUAGACGUCCAUUGUAAAGAGCACCCUUAAUCACCAAGUUAAUAAAAAGUUUAUUCAGUUUUUAUCAAAGAUUGUUCUUUGUAUAAAAUAUCGGUCUUUAGGAUUCAAAGAGAGAUUCUUUAUUGUUCUAUUGAUUUCGUGAGUCUAGUUUGUUUGUGCAAAUCAAACAAGCUCAGUACACAGAUUGAGAGAGUCAAUCAAUUCGAUCCAUCCUUCAUCAGAUUGAGAGAUUCAAUCAAAACCUCAUCCGAAAAUCCACUUCAAUCCAUCCCUUGAUCCGGCUUGAGAGAGACAUCAGUCCAGCAAGCAAGAUCCCACCUGCACACCAUCUCCAUCCCCUGUUCUUGUUGAGAGAGACAUCAGUCCAGCAACUUGAAUCCAUCAGCCAUCUCUAUCCUUCUCUUAUUUUGUUUCAUUUUGCAUCAUAUAGUUCUAGAUUUUCCAUUCAAUAUAAAAACCCAUAAAAAGUCAUAUUUGCUUCUGUUCUUAAUUUAUCAUUUAGUUUUCUUUAAGUUCAUCAUUUUGAUCCAUAAAAACUCAUAAAAAUAUUACUCUUUUGUUUCAGGUACAAAACCGGACAUCUCCCUCUCCAUCGCGUCCGUCUAGCCGCUCCAUAGCCGUCCGUCCGUCCUGUCCAGUCCGAGUUCUUGAACCUCAGUCCGUCCAUUUGAGUAGCCUGAAUCCCAGCCUGCAACAUUUUGGUAUCAGAGCUUAAGCUCCUGACUCAGGUGAUAUCUAUCCUUGUAUCUCAUACUUGCUUGCAUUUGUUUUUCCAUUCAUAAACCGAAAAUCAAUAAAAACUGUUUCUUUUUGUUUCAAGUUUUGUUUCUGCAUAUUUUUGUUCUUGCUGUUCAUCAUACUUUAAAACCACGAAAAAGAAAAGAAAAAGUUUUGUUUGAUUCAUUUAAAAAUCUAAAAUCCCAAAAGAAAGUGUUUGCAUUCAUUAGUUUCCAUAAAAGAAAAUCCCAUAAAAAUUUCUGUUUUGAAUUUGAUUCCUUUUCAUUUGCAUUCAUAAAUUCAAAAGCCAAAAGAAAUCAUCCUAGUUAUUGUUUCAUACUAUUUCUACUUGUCCAUUUCGUGAUUGCAUCAGAAAAGAAAAAGAAAAUAUUUUUAAGCUUUAGUUUAUAUCAUUUGCAUAUUUAAUUGUUGCAUUUCAUCCAAAGAAAAUUCAAAAAAAAAAAAAAAUUCAGCAUUAGUUUGCUUUCCAUAUUUUCUUUUCAUUUGUGUUAAUUGUCAUUUAUUAUUGUUUCAUUUCGAGAUUUGCAUUAAGAAAACCAAAAGAAAAAUCAUAUUGCAUAAUUAAUUUCAUUUCGGUUCAACAUUGCAUAUUUUCUCAGUUUAGUUUUAAUUAGCUUGCAUUUUGGUUCUUAUUCUGAUCCGACCAUAAAUUCCCUAUUCUUCACUUGAUCUUUGUGAUUGCUUGCAGGAAGAAAUGGAAGAAUUAGCACAAAGCCAAGCCUUAUUGGCCUCUCAAAAACAGCUAUUGGCUGCUAUGAAGGGUGUACAAGAUCAGAUUUCUCAGCUGGAGAAAAGAAACAAGGCACAAGGCCAACGACCACAGCAAGGAGAAAGAAGAUUUAGAGAUGCACUAGAUGCUGGCUAUGUUGAGCCCAAGCCACCAGAUCCUUCAUGGAUCACCAAACACCAAACUUCUUAUACUCAUGAAUACUCAAAUUAUUCUUAUCAUGAUUAUAACUCUGCUGAUUAUGUUAAUAUUUAUUCUUUUUCAGGAAGAAGUUGGUCAAGUGAGUAUCUAACAUGGGAAAGAACCAUAGAUGAUUGGUUUACAUACUAUGGCGUGCCAAAGAAGGAGAGGCUAGCUCAUGCCAUCGAGCAACUUUCCGGAAAAGCUUACUCAUGGUGGAAAAGAGUAGAUAAGACACAUGGUAAAAGUCCAGAAGAGGUUGUCACCAACUGGGAAGAUCUUAAAGAUGUCAUGAUCAGGAAAUAUGUGUCAUCACGUCCCUCACCAGAAGUCAGAGAAAGAUACCCAAGAAGGUUUUCAAGCCAUGGGUAUAAAGAGGCAAAGAGAAGAGUACCAAAAGAAGGCCAUAAAAGCUUGUUCCAUCAAGACCAGAUUCGGCCAGACAAGAGGUCCACGGUUUUCUAUGAUCAAUACCAACCUUAUGAGGUCCCAAAGUCCAUGGAGAAGAACCUUUUCAGCCCAGACACAUUGGCUAGACACAAAGAAAAAUCAGACAAACCAAUUCUUCAAGGAAAGGCCAAGGUAAGUCCUAUACUUGAUAAAUUUGUUUAUAAAUCAUCUCCUACUGGUAUGAGUCACUUGUAUUUGUCCAAGAAUGUUAAGACAGGUCCUGAGGUCCAGAAAGACACGAACUCAACAUCCUUGUUGGAAUCAAAAGCUGUCCAUGACUUAAGGAAUAAAGAGAUUCCAAGCCCAAAGAAAGAAGAGACAACAAGCCAAUGUAAGUCUUCUAACUCUGGAAAUUUAAAAGAUCAGACAUGUUGUAGAUGUCAUAAAAGAGGACACUUUGCUGUAGUUUGUCCAAGUAAACAAGUAUUGAUAGAGACAUCACUAGAAAAGAAAACAGAUUUAUCUUUAAAGAGUGAUAGUUUUAUUCAAUCUGAUUUAUUAGCUCAAAAUUCUUGUAUGAUGCACUUGUCUUUGUCAAAGGGUGAUGUAACAGGAACUAAGGAGCAUGAAUUCAAGGGAGAGGAUCCACCAGGCGCCACACCUGUGAUGAACCUGAAGAUGGUUCAAGACACAAUGCAGUCCAUAUUGCUUAAAGAAGCAAAACCAAAACAAUACCAAGGUAAGGCUUUAGAAUCUCAAAAGAGAAUGAAAGCUGACUUGCUCUAUCUUGGUGCAGAUUAUACAGUUUCGAGGUCGAAACCUUGUCAAGAGGGAGGGGAUGAUGUGGUCAUCAGAUCAGCAACUGAACCGGAGGUCAACCCAAAGCCCUACUCAACCAGCCAAGGCGCAAACCAGGACAUACGUGCACUAAAAAUGCCAUAUCUUAUAAAACAGGAGGGUUUAAAUCACGAGGCUAAUAUUUAUGGAUUCUACACUCAAGAAGAAGUCCAGGCCAAUUGGAAUUGGGCCAAAAUAUUCACGGAGCAAGAAGUUAUGAAUUUUACAACCCAGAGGUUUCUCAGCCGGUCCAUCUGCGAGUAUCCGACUUUAGAAGGAGAUUUAAGCUCAAGUAAGGAGCGUCCUGAAGCAAAUCCCAUCAUAGGAGUCAAGAGGAGUUUAUCAGAUUUCCAGAAAGCCCAAGAUCAGGAGAAAUGGCCACGGAAUUAUGAAGUUAUGAUCCAAUCUCCAAAACUGGUCAAACCAGUUCUACACUUGCCUCAAUUGGAAGCUAACCGGUUCAAUCAGCUUCAAACCAGACAUUGGCGACCAGGAGAUCAUUUAAACCAAUCAGGAGAUAUUCUAGGAAUCCAGGAGGAGUUCUACAAGUUCAUACCAUGCACCAGCAACCAUUGGAUCAGGAGGAUCCUCAUUUACUCAAACCUGCCUUAUUUGGAGCAAACCGACAUUAAUGUCCAACAGCUCUUUCCUCUUCAGUUUAGGCACGACCUCAGCACAUUCCAAGCAGUCAAGAAGGUUCCCAGGAAGCUUACUUAUCCCCUUAAACCAUCCAGGUUCAAGAAAGAUCAGAUUCUUUACUUGGAGCCAAAAUCCCACAAAAGGCUCCAACGGCUAGUUUUUGAUUUCUUUCUUAGUUUUCGAUUUGUUUCCUUUUCUAUUUGUUUUAGAACGUUAGGACCUUUGUCUCUGAGCCUUAUAUAAGCUCCUAGACGUCCAUUGUAAAGAGCACCCUUAAUCACCAAGU
Molecule: long non-coding RNA, 4018 nt
Filed under: Brassica napus (rape)
Lineage: Eukaryota; Viridiplantae; Streptophyta; Magnoliopsida; Brassicales; Brassicaceae
Description: long non-coding RNA (BNAP_LNC002339)
Source: RNAcentral